Molecule: ribosomal RNA, 408 nt
Filed under: Methylobacterium sp. iEIV8
Lineage: Bacteria; Pseudomonadati; Pseudomonadota; Alphaproteobacteria; Hyphomicrobiales; Methylobacteriaceae
Description: bacterial SSU rRNA
Rfam family: Bacterial small subunit ribosomal RNA
Source: RNAcentral
AGAGUUUGAUCCCUGGCUCAGAGCGAACGCUGGCGGCAGGCUUAACACAUGCAAGUCGAACGGGCACCUUCGGGUGUCAGUGGCAGACGGGUGAGUAACACGUGGGAACGUACCCUUCGGUUCGGAAUAACUCAGGGAAACUUGAGCUAAUACCGGAUACGCCCUUUUGGGGAAAGGUUUACUGCCGAAGGAUCGGCCCGCGUCUGAUUAGCUUGUUGGUGGGGUAACGGCCUACCAAGGCGACGAUCAGUAGCUGGUCUGAGAGGAUGAUCAGCCACACUGGGACUGAGACACGGCCCAGACUCCUACGGGAGGCAGCAGUGGGGAAUAUUGGACAAUGGGCGCAAGCCUGAUCCAGCCAUGCCGCGUGAGUGAUGAAGGCCUUAGGGUUGUAAAGCUCUUUUGUCC